This 330-nucleotide ribosomal RNA is filed under the name uncultured Glomus. RNAcentral's name for it is "SSU rRNA". It matches the Rfam family "Eukaryotic small subunit ribosomal RNA", at positions 569 to 909 of the family's 1831-position model. Lineage: Eukaryota; Fungi; Glomeromycota; Glomeromycetes; Glomerales; Glomeraceae. The record is from RNAcentral.
AGCAGCCGCGGUAAUUCCAGCUCCAAUAGCGUAUAUUAAAGUUGUUGCAGUUAAAAAGCUCGUAGUUGAAUUUCGGGGUCAGUAGAUUGGUCAUGCCUCCGGUAUGUACUGGUCUUACUGGCUCCUCCUUCCUGAUGAACCGUAAUGCCAUUAAUUUGGUGUUGCGGGGAGACUGGACUGUUACUUUGAAAAAUUGAGUGUUUAAAGCAGGCUAACGCUUGAAUACAUUAGCAUGGAAUAAUGAAAUAGGACGUUCGAUCUUAUUUGUUGGUUUCUAAGAUUGACGUAAUGAUUAAUAGGAUAGUUGGGGCAUUAGAUUCAAUUGUCAGA